Molecule: long non-coding RNA, 514 nt
Filed under: Manihot esculenta (cassava)
Lineage: Eukaryota; Viridiplantae; Streptophyta; Magnoliopsida; Malpighiales; Euphorbiaceae
Description: long non-coding RNA (MESC_LNC000210)
Source: RNAcentral
ACCUUUUUUUUUUUAUUCAAAAUCUCUUACCCUUUCGUCUCUUCUUUUUCCUUUUUAAGCACUCCUUUCUUUUCCCUUCAAAUUUUCAAAUUCUUCUCAACUAGAUUAUCAUGAAUCACAAGAAAGUAAACCAAAUAAAUCUAAUUUCUCCCUUAAUAAUUCUUGUAAAUAUGAUAGUAAACCUUUAUAAAUUAAAAUUUCCAACAUACCUUUAAAAUUCCUACACUUGGUCACUAUUCCCUCUUUCUCCAACCUUGAAAUUUCUCGUCAAUUCCUACUUAUUUCUUUAAUAUUUACUUAGGAAAGAGCUUGGAUGAAGUGAUGAAUUAAUUUUUGGGUAGCAAGAAGCAAAUUUGGUGUGAAGGUGGUGGAGAGUAGUUGAGAAUUUUCUCCUUUCUACGGCAAGGAGAAAGGAAGAAGAUGAAAAUGGGGAUGGGUUGUUCUAGAUUCUUCUCUCACUUCACUUUUCUUUUUUUUUUUUUUUUUUAUUUGAAAUGGUUAAAAAUAGACCAAG